This is a long non-coding RNA of Felis catus (domestic cat), 738 nucleotides long. RefSeq lists it as uncharacterized. The record is from RefSeq and is a predicted model, not a curated record. The transcript is spliced from 2 exons. NCBI's taxonomy places the organism in Eukaryota, Metazoa, Chordata, Mammalia, Carnivora, Felidae.
GGCGCCUUCUGGGUAGUGUAGUUUGGGAGCCCGUGGAGCGCGCUGCCUCAGAAUGAAGGUCCUCCUAGACUUUGGGGGUGAAGAGCCAGAACGUGAGCGGCGCCGGGAAAUGGAGCUCCGGGGCUGUAAACUGGGAAGGGCGACAAUGGGGCUGUAAGGAGCCCUACCGGAUGUCCUUGGGAUGCAGUCUAGGACGUCACAGAUAUGUUUACAAACCCAUUCUUUCCAAUUGUGUGAAUCGGAGCAAAUUUCCAAAGGGUAUACAUACAGUGGACACCGUAUACCAUCGUGUCACUUGGCGUCCGCUCAUCCUGGUGAAAAAAUGUUAGGAUCUCACUGAAGAUUGAGCCAGAGGCAGUGAAGUUGGAGAAGUCAGAGAAUGAAGCUGAACCCACAGCUGUGCUGAAACCUGGACCACACUCAGGGUUUGAUCUCCAAAAUGCGGCUCUUUUUGAAAUUUGAAAACAUGAACAGCUUGGUAGAAAUAUUUGGUAGUAGAAAUAAUUACGGUUUCUGGAAAUAUGAAAAUGAAUAGGGAAGCUGUAUUGUCAUGUGCUGCUCUAACAAAUAUUCAAUAAUCACCAUUUGGGUUUUAGACACAAGAGCAGAUACAUAGGAUGUGGGGAAUAGGGUUGCUCUGUGUAUGCUGUGCAUGUCCUGUAUUAAAUGACUUUGUUCUGGGUCCUGUAUUUAUCUUGUAAAGAGAUCAUAAAUCCUAUAUUUGCGUUUUUUUUUUUU